GCGUUGUUCGGAAUUACUGGGCGUAAAGGGCUCGUAGGUGGCCAACUACGUCAGACGUGAAAUCCCUCGGCUUAACCGGGGAACUGCGUCUGAUACUGGAUGGCUUGAGUGUGGGAGAGGGAUGCGGAAUUCCAGGUGUAGCGGUGAAAUGCGUAGAUAUCUGGAGGAACACCGGUGGCGAAGGCGGCAUCCUGGACCAUUACUGACACUGAAAAGCGAAAGCCAGGGGAGCAAACGGG
Molecule: ribosomal RNA, 239 nt
Filed under: uncultured bacterium
Lineage: Bacteria
Description: partial 16S ribosomal RNA
Rfam family: Bacterial small subunit ribosomal RNA
Source: RNAcentral